RNAcentral lists this ribosomal RNA (427 nucleotides) under uncultured bacterium. RNAcentral's name for it is "partial 16S ribosomal RNA". It matches the Rfam family "Bacterial small subunit ribosomal RNA", at positions 354 to 796 of the family's 1533-position model. The record is from RNAcentral.
GUGGGGAAUAUUGGGCAAUGGGGGAAACCCUGACCCAGCGACGCCGCGUGAGGGAAGAAGGCCUUAGGGUCGUAAACCUCUGUCGUGUGGGAAGAAGAGCGUGACGGUACCACACGAGGAAGUCCCGGCUAACUACGUGCCAGCAGCCGCGGUAAUACGUAGGGGACGAGCGUUGUCCGGAUUUACUGGGCGUAAAGGGCGCGUAGGCGGUCAUUUAAGUCAGCUGUGAAAUGGUUUGGCUUAACCGGAUCAUGCGGUUGAAACUGGAUGACUGGAGUGCUGGAGAGGCAAGUGGAAUUCCCAGUGUAGCGGCGAAAUGCGUAGAUAUUGGGAAGAACACCGGUGGCGAAGGCGACUUGCUGGCCAGCAACUGACGCUGAGGCGCGAAAGCCAGGGGAGCAAACGGGAUUAGAAACCCCGGUAGUCC